UUGACCUCGGAUCAGGUAGGGAUACCCGCUGAACUUAAGCAUAUCAAUAAGCGGAGGAAAAGAAACCAACCGGGAUUGCCUCAGUAACGGCGAGUGAAGCGGCAAGAGCUCAAAUUUGAAAGCUGGCCCCUCCGGGGUCCGCGUUGUAAUUUGCAGAGGAUGCUUUGGGUGCGGCCCCCGUCUAAGUGCCCUGGAACGGGCCGUCAGAGAGGGUGAGAAUCCCGUCUUGGGCGGGGUGUCCGUGCCCGUGUAAAGCUCCUUCGACGAGUCGAGUUGUUUGGGAAUGCAGCUCUAAAUGGGUGGUAAAUUUCAUCUAAAGCUAAAUACUGGCCGGAGACCGAUAGCGCACAAGUAGAGUGAUCGAAAGAUGAAAAGCACUUUGAAAAGAGAGUUAAACAGCACGUGAAAUUGUUGAAAGGGAAGCGCUUGCGACCAGACUCGCCCUCGGGGUUCAGCCGGCACUCGUGCCGGUGUACUUCCCCGGGGGCGGGCCAGCGUCAGCUUGGGCGGCCGGUCAAAGGCCUCCGGAAUGUAGUGCCCCCCGGGGCACCUUAUAGCCGGAGGUGCAAUGCGGCCAGCCUGGGCUGAGGAACGCGCUUCGGCACGGACGCUGGCAUAAUGGUCGCAAACGACCC
Molecule: ribosomal RNA, 635 nt
Filed under: Aspergillus aculeatus
Lineage: Eukaryota; Fungi; Ascomycota; Eurotiomycetes; Eurotiales; Aspergillaceae
Description: partial 28S ribosomal RNA
Rfam family: Eukaryotic large subunit ribosomal RNA
Source: RNAcentral